RNAcentral lists this ribosomal RNA (512 nucleotides) under uncultured bacterium. Its description in RNAcentral is "partial 16S ribosomal RNA". It matches the Rfam family "Bacterial small subunit ribosomal RNA", at positions 28 to 506 of the family's 1533-position model. The record is from RNAcentral.
GACGAACGCUGGCGGCGUGCUUAACACAUGCAAGUCGAACGAAAAGAGGGAAAGAGCUUGCUCUUUCCGGAAUUGAGUGGCAAACGGGUGAGUAACACGUAAACAACCUGCCUUCAGGAUGGGGACAACAGACGGAAACGACUGCUAAUACCGAAUAAGUUCCAAGGGCCGCAUGGCCCAUGGAAGAAAAGGUGGCCUCUACCUGUAAGCUAUCGCCUGAAGAGGGGUUUGCGUCUGAUUAGCUGGUUGGAGGGGUAACGGCCCACCAAGGCGACGAUCAGUAGCCGGUCUGAGAGGAUGAACGGCCACACUGGAACUGAGACACGGUCCAGACUCCUACGGGAGGCAGCAGUGGGGAAUCUUCCGCAAUGGGCGAAAGCCUGACGGAGCAACGCCGCGUGAGUGAUGACGGCCUUCGGGUUGUAAAACUCUGUGAUCCGGGACGAAAAGGCAGAGUGCGAAGAACAAACUGCAUGGACGGUACCGGAAAAGCAAGCCACGGCGAACUACGG